UAUCAACAGCUUGAUCAAUUCCAGAUCAUAUUCUGUUCUUUGUUUUUGUUAACAUCUGAUAAGUUGUCAUUGAAUUCAACUUAUCCUUUAUUGCUUUUUGUUGAUUUGUGAGGACGCUAAUUUAUGGGAGAUAAUGCAUGUAGCUGUAAAUAGUUAUGCAUGUUCUGAAGUCGUAAACAUAUCCUGAUGAAUAGGCAACCAUAUUUGUAUAUGGCUCCAAGUAUUGCACAUGCAGAAUUGUAUGCUUCAAUUGAAAGAAAGGAAGCAAAACCAAUUAAGUUUACAGUUAGAAUAGUGCUCGGCUCAUAUGCAACUUAUAGAUGGACUCGGAUCCUGUUGAGGUGAUCAUUGAACCAUAGGAAGCUUUAUAUGCACUUUGCUGCAGUGCAUAUAGCUUUGAAAAACUUGUUAUGUACAUGGUUGAAUUCAAAAUAUUGUUUGUUCUGAAGGGUGCACUUGAGAAGUUAUUAGUGCUAGGUACAGGGAAGCUGGCAUUGAACUAAUAUGUAUCACACGAUUUGAUGACUCCUGUUUAAAUCUUGAGGCAUUCUGUAAAUUAUUUAGCUGGUUGUUUGGGUGCUGAGAACAAUUGAUGGGGACGAAUAAUCAGAUAUUGAAAGCCUUUAAGCUGUGACACACUGGACUGAUCACCAAAGAUAUUUUCAAGUCAUACUAGAUGUGGUGGAGGAAGAUUUACAAGAGACAGGACAAGAGGUGCAUCAGGAUACAGGAAAUUGGUAAGAUCAAAUUCUUUGAAGUAUUCUGUGUUUAACAGUUCUUGGUAAAAUAUAAGUUGCAAUUAGUUUGACUGCUGGUAUUUUCUUUACUACCUAAAAUGUGUUAGAGACAUGAAGAAAAAAUUGAUGUAUGAUUUUGAAAAGUUGAAUUUAUGACUACAGGAAUCAUUAUUACACUUCCUAAAGUCGUUGAACAAUGAAAUACUUACUUUUCAGCUAGAGGGUUACAGCUUUAUAUUCGAUCAUUUUGGUACUUAUCAACGACAGCAAUCAACUCAUAACAGCUAGGUUAGAGCUAGAAUUGUUUUGAUUUAUGACCAUUUUGAAACAUGUCAGUAGUCAAUACAAUGCUGCAUGGGCAUAGACAAUAGAGCUGGACUUGAAUGCUUAUCCGAGCAUUAGUAAUGGCCAGAUGUGAAAAAAUCAGAGAUAAGGGACAAGCAAAAACUUAUGUUAACAACUAAUGUUUAAAUUUUUUUAGUAUCGUGGAGUUUGAAAAUUUUAAUUAUAUAGUAUUUGGUAAGGUGUUUGUAUACAUAUCGUGCAAGUUGCAGAGAUGAUAAAAAAUGAUGCUACUCAAUCCAUAAGGGUCAAAAAGGUUGCUGGUUGGAAUCUAUUUUUAAAAUAAAUAGUUUGAAUUAUUUGUCAUUUUUUAUAUCAAAUCUUCUUAUAAUAGUUUUUAUGUAUCUCAGUAUCUGUACCCUUAAUCUUAUAGUCUAUGUCCAGUAUUUGAUAAACAUAUGCAAGGUAUGCUACAUGGUAUUAUCUUUAUAUAUGGUUUCCCAGUAAUAUAUUUUCAAUCACAAUUUUUGUCUCUAUUGUCUUAUAGCAUGCGUCACGUUUACUUGGUAAGUUAGGAAACCACAAUGCAUCAUCAUGGUUGCAACUAAAACUGUUAAAACAUGGAAGUAUUUCAUAUAGACUCCGAGAUACGUCUCUUCUUUGCAUUGGAUAACCUUGUACACUUGAAAUUUGCAUGUAUACUCAUGCAUUACUACUUGAUGCAACUAUACCCCUACUAUUAGUGGCAGCAGAGGCUGUAAUGUCUGGAAGAUGGUGGUCUUUGUUCAGCAGUAGCUGGGUAGUGAAUUAGGACUACUCAUUUUUCCUUGACGAAAGCAUCUUCAUGACUUCAUUCCAUAGUUUGACAUAUUAAACAAUGAUGACUGUACUUAUCCCAGUGCAUCUUGCAUCUGUGUUACAAAGUCAGUCUAUCAUAAUAAUGCAAAACCUCUCUUUGAGUUUAUAUCAAUCAGGAUGUGUUGGCUAAAUUUGCCUUAGUACUACAGCAUCUUUUGACUUAAUUUGGGAGCAUCUGAGGGUUAUUCAUUGAUGUCUCUGCAUUUUGCUUAAGGACCUUGGUGCCUAUUUUGAUAUCGCUCCUCGUUUGGGGGCAUAGAAGAAUUAGCAAACCUUUCAAACCUCGAUAUUGAUCACAUCAUACUCCUUCAGCUUCAAGCACUGGCCUAACAUUCUUCUAUUGAAAGAUUAAAGUUUCAUGCAACUGCUGAAGGAUGCCAGUGAACUGGCAAAAUAACUGUCUCAUAUCAAGAAGCAGUAGCUGUAUGUUUUUCGUGUCUAAUGGAGAUGUUAAAGGGUAUAGUAUGUGCCCUAAUAUAACAUAUAACCAGGGAAUAGUGUUUCAUUCUAUUAAUCAUUUUGUUUGUUGAAUUUCAAUUUUGCUAUGAACUUCUACAGGCUUGAUAGACUGGUUUUGUGUAAGAUUUCUCUUGAUUUAAAUAAUAGAUUUGGUCAGAUUUUUGUGGUGAUGAAGCUCAUUGGCAAAGAAUAUUAUUGUGUUUCAAUUAAGGAGCCUCCUAGCUCUCUGGAUGCAGGGUCUAUCUGGUAAUGCAAGAAUGUAGGAUACGCAGGACUUCCGUGUGGAUAAGAUAUCUGGCUAAGAUUGCAAAUUUAGGUCAUGUCUCCUGCAAAAUCCUGACAAUUUUUCCUGGGAAGCCUAAUCUGGCAGGUAAGUCUCAAUCUUUCCUCCAGAAUCUGACAGUGGAGCAAAAAUAAAGUUACACAUUGUCUAUGUAAUUUUUUUGUUUGGAGUGUGUGUUAUUUGAACAAUUCUCUUCUUGUAAUUUAUUCAUUUAGUGUAAAGCUGCUGCUUCAUUUUAUUAUAUCCAUUUUGGCUUGCUUGUUUGUGGUAACAAGGCAAUGCAGGUUGAGACAACACAGAUUCAAAGCCUCUCAGCACUGAAUCACAUUGGCUUGAACAGGCACAAGAACCGAAUAUUUUGCCGCCACCUAUGCUGUAGACCGAGCUGGUGCCACACUUGGUCAAGGAAGUUGGAAGAUUUAGUGAGAAAUGAUACCCUACACAGCAUGCACCAAUAUGGUUGUGCACCACGCCAAUCACCCACAUCCUUCUUAUGGGCUCCAUUCAUCAUGCGCUCCUCUCAGUAAUUGGCCCAGAGGAAGAAGAUGUGGUGAUUGACAUGGUGCAUGGCCAUGUGGUGCAUAUGGUAUAUGAUAUAAUUUCUUGGAUUUACUAAAAGAGUCUCAUAUAAAUCUCCUCUCUCUCUCUCUCUCUCUGCGCGCGCACGGAGAUUUGGAAAUCUACUGGUCAGCUGAUGGUAUGAAGAUGGCAUUUCAGUUAGGUAUUGUUCUUGGAUGAGCUGAUGUAGCAAAAUAUGGUAGCGCCAUAUUAACUGCCUGCAUGGUAUUUUGGUUUAGAGCAAGGCCUUCUGCCCAAAAAAAAUAAAAAAAAGGCUAAUCCUGAUUAUUGGGCACAGAAGGAUUUUGAGCUAACAAAUGCUGGGUUAGGGAGUCUAUAUUCAACCUAUCCCAUGGUAAGAGAAAUUUUCUCUUACAAAUUGUAUCAAAAUUUUCUUAUGUCACAUGGUAAGAGAAAUUUUUAUGUGCACAAAACAUUACCCAGCAUUUCCCCAGUUAAUUUCAUGCACUCCCUCUCAGGAUGCCUGGAUAA
Non-coding RNA from Phoenix dactylifera (date palm), 3669 nucleotides. The record is from RefSeq and is a predicted model, not a curated record. NCBI's taxonomy places the organism in Eukaryota, Viridiplantae, Streptophyta, Magnoliopsida, Arecales, Arecaceae.